CUGUGGUUGGACCUCUUUUAGGUUGUUUGUUUUCUGGCACAAUCUGUCUCUGUGACUGGGCCGGGUGCCGUGCUGCCCGCGACAAAGGACUCUUUCUUAUGACACUUUAAUAGCUCCAGCACAGGGGACAGCCCUGAUUCUCCCAGGCGUGCAGGAGAGGAACGGGGCUGCUUUUCUGCAACUUGGCCUGAGUUGAACUGAGUGAGACUUAAGGAAAAAAACAGUAUUAAAUCCCAAACUUUAACCUCCUAGCAAAGGGAUAAGAAAAGCCAACUGCAUCAUGUAGAGAAGAGCACAGAUUAAAAGGUAACCAAGCGUCUGAUCAGCCUCUGGCAUUGUUCUACUGGAUUUAGGGCCUACUAUAAUCCAAUACAGGCUGAUAUUAACCAAUUGCAUCUGCAAAGACUCCAUGACCAAAUAAGGCCACAUCUGUGGGUGCUGAGGGUUAAGAUUUCAACACACCUUUUGAGGACACAAUUCUGCCACAAACUCCUACUCUGGAAUUUACAGGACAAGGGAUCUUUGCCCUAUACCUCUGUCCUCCUCAAUGGCCUCCCCCAUCUGUCCACCCACUCCAGGAAGUAAGGCUGGGAGACACGGGUCCUGAAAUAAAAGAAACCUGAUCACCCCA
RNAcentral lists this long non-coding RNA (631 nucleotides) under Fukomys damarensis (Damara mole-rat). Its description in RNAcentral is "lncRNA (ENSFDAG00000028898.1)". The record is from RNAcentral. Lineage: Eukaryota; Metazoa; Chordata; Mammalia; Rodentia; Bathyergidae.